Molecule: transfer RNA, 71 nt
Filed under: Stegodyphus mimosarum
Lineage: Eukaryota; Metazoa; Arthropoda; Arachnida; Araneae; Eresidae
Rfam family: tRNA
About the family: Transfer RNA (tRNA) molecules are approximately 80 nucleotides in length.
Source: Rfam by way of RNAcentral
GCCUUCGUAGUGUACCGGUAGCGCACUGGGCUGGUAUUCGAGAGGUCCAGAUUCGAGUUCCGACGAGGGCA